Molecule: transfer RNA, 80 nt
Filed under: Acrocarpospora pleiomorpha
Lineage: Bacteria; Bacillati; Actinomycetota; Actinomycetes; Streptosporangiales; Streptosporangiaceae
Description: tRNA-Trp
Source: RNAcentral
CGCGUUGAUGGCGCGCUGGGCGAGCGCCUGCGCCUCCAGGGUGUAGGUCGGGAACUGGAUCUGCGACCAGGUCUGCGCGG